Non-coding RNA from Camellia sinensis, 427 nucleotides. The record is from RefSeq and is a predicted model, not a curated record. NCBI's taxonomy places the organism in Eukaryota, Viridiplantae, Streptophyta, Magnoliopsida, Ericales, Theaceae.
AAUGUGAAUUAGGAAAAUUAACUGGUUUUGUGGUUUGUUGGCUGUUUGGCCAUUUCAGGUUUCGCAAUUUGAUGGUUUUUUCUUUUUUUGGUUGAAGAGUUUGAUUUUCCAGGUCAUGACCUGGCGUGGUGACAAGUUCUCAUCCAGUUAGCGCCAUGGCGCUGGUUCAACCCACCGGAAUCAGCCUCUCCACAAAAUGGCAGGGGUAAGUCUGACUAACUGCUAGCUCUGUCAAAUCCUAUUGUACAGCGGGAGUCUUAUGCACGGCCUUUUCUUUUUGUACAGUUACUUGAUAUUGUGCACAGCACGCCUACAUGGAUGCAUACAUACACUACAAUUUGGAAAAUCUUUGUUUUGGAUGUAAUUAGGAAACUACUUUUAGUGCACACACAGAGAGUAAGUUUUAAUAUAAGGUAAUUAUUAAUAA